RNAcentral lists this ribosomal RNA (551 nucleotides) under Trichoderma hamatum. Its description in RNAcentral is "partial small subunit ribosomal RNA". Lineage: Eukaryota; Fungi; Ascomycota; Sordariomycetes; Hypocreales; Hypocreaceae. The record is from RNAcentral.
CCACAUUACUCUUGAGGUGAAAUGCUUACACUUUCAUUUAUAGACCAAAUAAUGUUUAAUAUCUAAUUUAAUAUAAUAUUAAAUCUUAAUCUAACCUAUGGCAUUCAUCAUUUACYGCAAAGACNACUUGGGUAUCUAAUCCUGUUUGUGCUCUGUGCCUUCGUCCUUUAACGUCAGUUUUCACAUAGAGGGCUGCCUUCGCCUUUACCGAGUCCCUUUGGUAUCAUAGAAUUUCAUCUCUCCUCCUCAAGUACNGCCCUCUUACAUAAAACCCUAGUCAAGUACUAACAUUUUAGAAGCUAUAUUGACCGUCUAGGUACCCUUUAAACCUAAUUAAGAUGAAUAACACUAGUCUCUUACGUAUUACCGCGACGGCUGGCACGCAAUUAGUCAAGACACGAUAUAUAUACUGUCAUUAUCAAUAUAUAAACAAAGCUUUAUUCAAUUUUAAUACAAUCCUAUAGAUCAUAUUCAAAGAUAUGAUCAAAAUAGGACUUGCCACUUCUCCAAGUUGCCAGUUCAGCCGUUAGGCAUUGACUAAYAUUCUUGAC